GUAUAGCAUUAUACCGUGAAACUGCGAAUGGCUCAUUAAAUCAGUUAUCGUUUAUUUGAUAGUACCUACCUACUUGGAUAACCGUGGUAAUUCUAGAGCUAAUACAUGCUAAAAACCCCGACUUCGGAAGGGGUGUAUUUAUUAGAUAAAAAACCAAUGCCCUUCGGGGCUCCCUGGUGAUUCAUAAUAACUUCUCAGAUCGCAUUAGCCUUGCGCUGGCGACGGUUCAUUCAAAUUUCUGCCCUAUCAACUUUCGAUGGUAAGGUAUUGGCUUACCAUGGUUUCAACGGGUAACGGGGGAUUAGGGUUCGAUCCCGGAGAAGAAGCCCGAGAAACAGCUUCUACAUCCAAGGAAGGCAGCAGGCGCGCAAAUUACCCAAUUCCGAUACGGAGAGGUAGUGACAAUAAAUACUGAUACAGGGCUCUUUUGGGUCUUGUAAUUGGAAUGAGUACAAUUUAAACCUCUUAACGAGGAACAAUUGGAGGGCAAGUCUGGUGCCAGCAGCCGCGGUAAUUCCAGCUCCAAUAGCGUAUAUUAAAGUUGUUGCAGUUAAAAAGCUCGUAGUUGAACCUUUGGCCUGGCUGGCAGGUCCGCCUCACCGCGUGCACUUGUCCGGCCGGGCCUUUUCUUCUGGAGAACCGCAUGCCCUUUACUGGGUGUGUUGGGGAUCAGGACUUUUACUUUGAAAAAAUUAGAGUGUUCAAAGCAGGCCUUUGCUCGAAUACGUUAGCAUGGAAUAAUAAAAUAGGACGUGCGGUUCUAUUUUGUUGGUUUCUAGGACCGCCGUAAUGAUUAAUAGGGACAGUCGGGGGCAUCAGUAUUCCAUAGUCAGAGGUGAAAUUCUUGGAUUUAUGGAAGACUAACUACUGCGAAAGCAUUUGCCAAGGAUGUUUUCAUUAAUCAGUGAACGAAAGUUGGGGGAUCGAAGACGAUCAGAUACCGUCGUAGUCCUAACUAUAAAUGAUGCCGACUAGGGAUCGGGCGAUGUUUCUAUUUGUGACUCGCUCGGCACCUUACGAGAAAUCAAAGUGUUUGGGUCU
This 1041-nucleotide ribosomal RNA is filed under the name Laburnicola dactylidis. RNAcentral describes it as "SSU rRNA". It matches the Rfam family "Eukaryotic small subunit ribosomal RNA", at positions 63 to 1115 of the family's 1831-position model. Lineage: Eukaryota; Fungi; Ascomycota; Dothideomycetes; Pleosporales; Didymosphaeriaceae. The record is from RNAcentral.